UACAGAGGUCCCAAGCGUUGUUCGGAUUCACUGGGCGUAAAGGGCGCGUAGGCGGCUUAUCAAGUCAGGGGUGAAAUCCGGCAGCUCAACUGUCGAAGUGCCUUUGAUACUGAUGAGCUAGGGGGAGAUAGGGGUAUGCGGAACUUCCGGUGGAGCGGUGAAAUGCGUUGAUAUCGGAAGGAACGCCGGUGGCGAAAGCGGCGUACUGGAUCUCUUCUGACGCUGAGGCGCGAAAGCUAGGGGAGCAAACGGG
Molecule: ribosomal RNA, 253 nt
Filed under: uncultured bacterium
Lineage: Bacteria
Description: partial 16S ribosomal RNA
Rfam family: Bacterial small subunit ribosomal RNA
Source: RNAcentral